UGAUGAGAAAUCUAUUCUGCCCGGUGUAAAUGGCCGCAGUAUUUUAACUGUGCUAAGGUAGCAAAAUAAUUAGUCUUUUGAUUGGGGACUGGAAUGAAAGAUUGGACGAGAGAUGAGCUGUCUUAAUUAGUUGAAUUUAGUGUUAAUGUGAAGAAACAUAAGGGACGAGAAGACCCUGAUAAGUUUUAUUAUUUCAUUGGGGCGAUGACGAUGAUAAGGAGUUUAAAUUACUACAGGGAUAACAGCGUGAAAUUUUUGGAGAGAUCAUAUUGAUAAAAAGUUUUGCGACCUCGAUGUUGAAUUAAACCUUCUUGGAGGAGGACUUUUAAAAUUUUACA
This 338-nucleotide ribosomal RNA is filed under the name Charinus gertschi. Its description in RNAcentral is "partial large subunit ribosomal RNA". It matches the Rfam family "Bacterial large subunit ribosomal RNA", at positions 1843 to 2600 of the family's 2925-position model. Lineage: Eukaryota; Metazoa; Arthropoda; Arachnida; Amblypygi; Charinidae. The record is from RNAcentral.